UAUUUUCAGUUUCUCCACAUGGCAUAAACUCAAUGAAGAGAGAUUUAAAGGCUGCACAUCCAACAGACGAAUGGACAACACAAUGGCUUCCUACUUCGUCCUGCACCUGCCUCCUUGAAAGAAAACAAGACAUCAGAUACUUAUUCAAAUAAUGCAGUAGCUGAUCAGCAGAGUAUCUACACAAUGAUUUCAGUUUUCUACACACUGAAGAGCAAUGGGGCUCAGCUUUGGAGCAGACAGUGUUCUGUUGCUAAUAUUGCAGAUGAGUCAACUAACAAGUGGGAAAGAGGAUUAAGGUAAUGGCCUUUU
Long non-coding RNA from Coturnix japonica (Japanese quail), 309 nucleotides. RefSeq lists it as uncharacterized. The record is from RefSeq and is a predicted model, not a curated record. Lineage: Eukaryota; Metazoa; Chordata; Aves; Galliformes; Phasianidae.